UACCGAGGUCUCAAGCGUUGUUCGGAUUCAUUGGGCGUAAAGGGUGCGUAGGCGGCGCGGUAAGUCGGGUGUGAAAUCUCGGGGCUUAACUCCGAAACUGCAUUCGAUACUGCCGUGCUUGAGGACUGGAGAGGAGACUGGAAUUUACGGUGUAGCGGUGAAAUGCGUAGAUAUCGUAAGGAAGACCAGUGGCGAAGGCGGGUCUCUGGACAGUUCCUGACGCUGAGGCACGAAGGCCAGGGGAGCAAACGGG
RNAcentral lists this ribosomal RNA (253 nucleotides) under uncultured bacterium. RNAcentral's name for it is "partial 16S ribosomal RNA". It matches the Rfam family "Bacterial small subunit ribosomal RNA", at positions 524 to 776 of the family's 1533-position model. The record is from RNAcentral.